UGCAAACAGUGAAUUAUGUUGUUGAGUUUGUUUGUUUCAGAGUCAGAGAGCCGUGUCUCUCUACAGUCAGAGGUUUUUGUACGGCGGCUCAAUGAGUUUGUAUCACUGUGGUGGACUUUUGGUGGAGGAACCAGACUGGAUGUUGGAAGUGAUACCCGCCCCGCCCUGACAGUGCUGCCCCCCUCCAACAAGGAGCUGGAGCAGGGGAAGGCCACGCUCAUGUGUGUGGCCAACAAGGGCUUCCCCUCAGACUGGAGUCUGUCCUGGAAGACGAGCGACAGCAGUGGCAGCAGCAGCAUCAGAGGGGAGGAGAGCAGGACUCCUGGAGUGCUGCAGAAUGACGGCCUCUACAGCUGGAGCAGCACCCUGACGCUCACUGAAGACCAGUGGGGGAAGGUGGGCUCUGUGACCUGUGAGGCCACCCAGGGCUCCCAGACUCUGGUCUCGGAGAUACUGAGGAGAGACCAGUGUUCCCAGUCCUGAUGUCAAUCACUGAGUCUUUGAUACUGCUUUGUCUGUUUUCUCUGUCUCUGUUUCCCAUAUGGAAAAGAUAUAUAUAAAUCUUAUAAAGUUUGUAUCUGUCUUGUGUGAAACUUGUAUGAAAAGCAUACAUGAGUGAAAACAGAUAUAAGAUCCCUUGAAAAUUAUAUAAAUGAAACUUGUAUUUUUUUGGAUACUUACUAAAACAAUAUAUGAAAGUGGCCACUUUCAUGAGUAAAUCAUAUAAGUCAUAUAUGAUUUACUAUAUUAAGUAGGCCAAACCUUAUGCAAGUCUUUUAUAAGGUUUUUCUAUUUCUUCUCCAUAUGAAUUUCCUCAGAUUUCAUAUUCAUGUUUUCCUGCUUGUGAUGUCGUUGAUGGUUUUAAUACUUCAAAUAAAAAAAUAUUUCUUCAGUUAA
This is a non-coding RNA of Oreochromis niloticus (Nile tilapia), 897 nucleotides long. The record is from the annotation of a RefSeq genome assembly. Lineage: Eukaryota; Metazoa; Chordata; Actinopteri; Cichliformes; Cichlidae.